RNAcentral lists this ribosomal RNA (422 nucleotides) under uncultured Saprospiraceae bacterium. Its description in RNAcentral is "bacterial SSU rRNA". It matches the Rfam family "Bacterial small subunit ribosomal RNA", at positions 355 to 776 of the family's 1533-position model. Lineage: Bacteria; Pseudomonadati; Bacteroidota; Saprospiria; Saprospirales; Saprospiraceae. The record is from RNAcentral.
UGAGGAAUAUUGCGCAAUGGGCGAAAGCCUGACGCAGCCACGCCGCGUGGAGGAUGACACCCCUCUGGGGCGUAAACUCCUUUUAUGUGAGAAGAAAACCUCGUUCUGCGAGGAUUGACGGUAUCAUAUGAAUAAGCACCGGCUAACUCCGUGCCAGCAGCCGCGGUAAUACGGAGGGUGCAAGCGUUGUCCGGAUUCACUGGGUGUAAAGGGUGUGUAGGUGGAAUGGCAAGUCAGAGGUGAAAGCCUACAGCUUAACUGUAGAACUGCCUUUGAUACUGCCGUUCUUGAGUACUGGAGAAGUCACUGGAAUUCGUGGUGUAGCGGUGAAAUGCGUAGAUAUCACGAGGAACACCUGAGGCGUAGGCGGGUGACUAAACAGAUACUGACGCUGAGGCACGAAAGCGUGGGGAGCAAACAGG